RNAcentral lists this long non-coding RNA (226 nucleotides) under Daucus carota (carrot). RNAcentral's name for it is "long non-coding RNA (DCAR_LNC007534)". The record is from RNAcentral. Lineage: Eukaryota; Viridiplantae; Streptophyta; Magnoliopsida; Apiales; Apiaceae.
GAGAAAAUAAUCAAAAGAAUCUUUAGUUGAAGAGAGGUAUUGCCAAGGUCUUCUCAAAUUCCCACUCUGCUUUACGAAAUCGUUAUUCGAUUUAUGUCAUCCUUUCAACAUUCUCGAUAGUCGAUUGACGUUCGUUCGUAGCAGCCUCGUAAAAUUCAUAGUAGACGUUAUCGUUCGUAAUAACUCUGGCCCCUGUGGUUUACAUUCUUCUACUUUAUCCCAGUUG